GGCGGGUACAGGCUCAGGGACAGGCAGAGAGGUAAGGUGGGCGGGUACAGGCUCAGGGACAGGCAGAGAGGUAAGGUGGGCGGGUACAGGCUCAGGGACAGGCAGAAAGGUAAGGCGAGCGGGUACAGGGUCGGGACAGGCAGAGGUCAAAAACCAGGAGGCUGAGAAAAGAGAGGCAGGGAAAAAGACAGGAGCUGACAGGAAAACCACUGGUAAGCUUGAACGAACAAGACGAACUGGCAACAAACAGAGAACACAGGUAUAAAUACACAGGGGAUAAUUGGGAAGAUGGGCGACACCUGGAGGGGGGCGAGACAAGCAAAGGUGAAACAGAUCAGGGCAUGACAGUUUUGCACCAAGUCUCUUGCACUGGCUAGAUGUACACUCACUGGACUCUAACCACACACAUACUACAAUGACACUCUAACACACACACACAGACAGACACACACAUUCCGUCCUUCACACUAAUCACACACGCUACUGCUACUCUCUGUUUAUUUUCUAUGCAUAGUCACUUUACCCCUACCUACAUGUACAUAUUACCUCAACUAACCCGUACCCCUGCACAUUGACUUGGUACCCCUUGU
This is a long non-coding RNA of Oncorhynchus tshawytscha (Chinook salmon), 590 nucleotides long. The record is from Ensembl. NCBI's taxonomy places the organism in Eukaryota, Metazoa, Chordata, Actinopteri, Salmoniformes, Salmonidae.